UGUGGUGAGCGCUAUCACCCUGCAGCCCAAGACUGGUUGCCCACUUAAUCUAAGCAGGGCUGAGCCUGGUCAGUACCUGGAUGAGAGACCUCCUGGGAAAACUAGCUUGCUGCGGGAA
Molecule: ribosomal RNA, 118 nt
Organism: Sinocyclocheilus grahami
Lineage: Eukaryota; Metazoa; Chordata; Actinopteri; Cypriniformes; Cyprinidae
Source: Ensembl